Pelobates cultripes (western spadefoot toad) is the source of this 409-nucleotide non-coding RNA. The record is from the annotation of a GenBank genome assembly. Lineage: Eukaryota; Metazoa; Chordata; Amphibia; Anura; Pelobatidae.
UGUGCUAUAGUCUGCCUGUAAUUGUGCGUGUGACUGCCUUCAACAUGGAUGCUGUCCAGGAAGUAGGAGGGUCUGGGAGGGAGGUUCUGCCGGAGAUUGGCAGGGAUGUGUCAGCUGACCGGAGUUCGCGGACGGUUCGCGACAUCACUAGUGACCACGGGUAAUGGGGAAUCAGUGUUCCAUUCCAUACAGGGACCCUGAGAAACGGCUACCACAUGCAAGGAAGGCAGCAGGCGCGCAAAUGACCCACUCCCGAUGCGGGAAGGUAGUGACGACAAAUAACAAUACAGGACUCUUUAGAGGCCCUGUAAUUGUAAUGAGUCCACUUGAAAUCCUUUAACUCUUAUCAAUUGGAGGGAAGUCUGGUUCAGAGCCACUGACCCGUGCGUGCUGCAGCUAAAACUUCAAU